UGCGAUACGUAGUGUGAAUUGCAGAAUUCAGUGAAUCAUCGAAUCUUUGAACGCACAUUGCGCCCUUUGGUAUUCCAAAGGGCAUGCCUGUUCGAGCGUCAUUUGUACCCUCAAGCUUUGCUUGGUGUUGGGCGUUUUUGUCUUUGGCCCGCCAAAGACUCGCCUUAAAAUGAUUGGCAGCCGGCCUACUGGUUUCGCAGCGCAGCACAUUUUUGCGCUUGCAAUCAGCAAAAGAGGACGGCAAUCCAUCAAGACUCCUUCUCACGUUUGACCUCGGAUCAGGUAGGGAUACCCGCUGAACUUAAGCAUAUCAAUAAGCGGAGGA
This 325-nucleotide ribosomal RNA is filed under the name Curvularia spicifera. RNAcentral's name for it is "partial contains 5.8S ribosomal RNA, internal transcribed spacer 2 and large subunit ribosomal RNA". The stretch from base 1 to 101 matches the Rfam family "5.8S ribosomal RNA", at positions 54 to 154 of the family's 154-position model. The record is from RNAcentral. Lineage: Eukaryota; Fungi; Ascomycota; Dothideomycetes; Pleosporales; Pleosporaceae.